CUACCUUGCCAGUUCACUCUCUGCGCAAGCGCAGUGUGGGUCUCCUGCCACCACCUCCUUACUCCCCCCCCCCGCACAGCUUUCUGGGAAGUGUAGUUGCGGAGGGGUGGUGAUGCCUCCGGCGCUAGCCGAGGGAUCCCUUCCAAAAUGCACAAUCGCACGCGGGGAAGGAGAGAUCAAAACCUCGGGAUCCCCUCUUCCAGCCCCUCCGCGCGCAUUCUUUGCGCCACCAGUCCGCUCUCUCCCAAGCUGACUAUGCACACCCGAGCCCCCAAACCUCUCUCUGCCCAAGAUAACCCUCUAAAGCCGUGCAUCCGCCAGCUGGCUGGCGCCCCUUCCUGGGCUGGCGGCCACGAAGCGACUCUGCUCCCCUGUAGAUCGAAUGGGAAUCCUGAGGUCCCAAGACAGCUGAGGACUCUGUUCGGUGCCACCAAAGGAAUGCUGCCACUCAGACUGCCAUACCCCUGCCCUUAGGACUGAGGUCAGGCGAUGAGCUGCCAAGAGGAAUCUGCCGGGGGUUAGAGAGAGCUGUCACUGGCCCAGAAUCCUACUUACCCACCCCCCCCCCGCCCCCCCCCCCCGGCCCGCCCGCCCGCCGCAACAGCUGGAGUCUCUCCGUUUGAGCUGUGGUGAUCUGCCAUCGCCUGAGUUUGGACUGGACCAUCAUAACAAUGAUGAUAUGUCUGUGUUUCACUCUGGUCAGAGUGACUGAAAUGGCUAGAAGACAGAAUGAUCCAGAUCCUGUUCUAUUUUGAUCUAGAGCAGCACACAGUAAAUGGUCUUUGGGUCGUGUGUCCUGUGAGCAGGAACAAAUGACUGACAAGAGGCUGGUAGGAGCAGGGGAGGAAGAAAAGCCCGGCUAACCUCGGGUCGGAACCAGUCCCUGCUCACCUGAAGGGGUAGCCGAACAAAACAAUGAUGGCGCUCACGUCCUUGGCUUCGUUGUUGCAGCGAACCAUGGCUCCCGUCUCCCCGCUGUAAGAGCCGCAGGACCCGAAGGCGAAAAUAGCAAAGAGCUAAGAGAAAGUGGGAGAGUCAGAAGGUCUCACCCGUCCGAGGUCAAGAACCACCCUUUGACUCCAGAGGGUGCAGGUGCUUUGUGGGCAGGGAGUACGGGUUCCUUUUAUCAAGUUCCUCCUGGUAGGGACCCUCAGUGGCCAUCCUUCUCUCAACUCCAAAUACUGUAUUCUCUGAACAAAGCAGUGGGCCUCGUGACCAUGUGAAGAAGACCAACUCUGAGUGUGGUCUCAAGGGAGGGGAAGGGAGAGGAAACGGUGUCCAGACCUCUGUAUUGGGCACGGCGCUGGGGACCACACAUCGCUUCUUUAAGAUAACGACUAACACAAAACCUCUGUAAUUCUGGCUUUGGAAAUGUCUGUUUCAAAGCUAGACUUUUCCCCCCCUGCAAACAAGCGAUCGGACAUAGAUCAAGCCAGAUCAGGCAUGCCUGGAAUGUUUUUCAUUUAAUUUCAUUUUCAUUCUCUCUCGACCAGCAGUCAUGGACUCUUGCCCUUACUUUAUUUCUAACUUCCAGUAGUUUCUUCCCUCACUGGAGGUAUGGUGGAGGGAGGCUUCUACCGAGCCGCUUCAUGGUACUGUCAGCCUGACUUUUCUUCCCCGAAAGCGUAUACCCUUCCGGCCGCGGCACCCGCUGGUGAAUGUUGACAGGACCUGGCUCAAGCCCAGAGGAAAGUAUCGUCCACUUUCCUUAUCAGCCUCUACUCUUUCCCACUGCUGUUCCUCUUUGUAACCUGCUGGUGCUGCCACUUCCCAGUGGCAAGAAGUGGGGGUGUCUCAGACCACUCACACUGUUUCCCUUUCCACCUUUCGUCACGGCUGACUGCACCUUCUGUCUUGAGUAAUAUGAAGUGUCCCCAUCCUAUGAUCCUCCCGUUUCUUUCUGGAGGAACACA
Peromyscus maniculatus bairdii (prairie deer mouse) is the source of this 1913-nucleotide non-coding RNA. The record is from RefSeq and is a predicted model, not a curated record. Lineage: Eukaryota; Metazoa; Chordata; Mammalia; Rodentia; Cricetidae.